Long non-coding RNA from Populus euphratica (Euphrates poplar), 1091 nucleotides. RefSeq lists it as uncharacterized. The transcript is spliced from 5 exons. The record is from RefSeq and is a predicted model, not a curated record. NCBI's taxonomy places the organism in Eukaryota, Viridiplantae, Streptophyta, Magnoliopsida, Malpighiales, Salicaceae.
GGGUGGUUGGGUGGUUGUUGACUGGCCAUGGCCAUGGGCAGCCCCAGCCCCAGCCCCAGUGACUGUGAGUGUCUCAAUCAGUACAGUUUGAAGAAGACGGAGUCGUUAAAACCGACGUGAAUCACCAAGAAUCCUCGACUCAAAGUGCUGGGUUAGUUCUGGAGGGGAGACAUAAUGCUGAUAUAGGAUGGAUUUCGGAGCUUAGAAGGAAUGGAGAUGCUCUGGGAAAUGGAAUAUGACGGCAUUGUGCUUGAGCCCUGGUCAAGGUGGGCAGCUUAUGGUGUCUUGCAUGAUCCUGAAAUGAGGAAUAAGUAGAUGAAACCAUCAACACUGUGGCGGGAUUUUGAGGAUUGUGUCUGGGCCUGCAAGCCUAGGCGCUGCAGUUUGUUAAACAACUUGGGCAUGCAAUGCAUUCUGUAAGCUCAUCACAGAAUGGGAAGCAACAUUUACAGUAGGCCUACAUUAUCUGUCCACCAUAUUUAGAGAACCUCCAACCUCAUGACUUCAGUCCAGAGGAUCUUCAGAGCUUGAGUGAUGCUGUAGAUAGUUUCUCAUUAAUGAACUAUGACUUCUCAAGCCCUCACAACCCAGGUCCAAAUGCACCUUUGAAGUGAAUCCAUUUCACUCUGCAGAUACUCACAGGCAACAGGGGUGCUCGUACCCUGGCCCAUAAGAUAUUUCUGGGCAUCAAUUUUUACGGAAAUGAUUUCAUGCUUUCUGAAGGUUCUGAAGGUGGUGGAGCCAUCGCUGGAAUAGAAUACUUCUCUUUACAGGAGAAGCAUAAACCUAAAUUACAGUGGGAAAAAUUACAUAGGAAAAGAACAGCGGGGAGCAUUUUUUUUCCUCUACAUUGAUGAUGACCCAAUCAAUCACGCAGUGUUCUCUAGAAGAAGCUCGACUAGGGGAGCAGGUAUCUCAAUCUGGGAAGCUAGUCAAGGUUUGGAUUACUUUUUUGAUAUUUGGAACUUGUCAAUACAAUGUAACAUGACUCUUAUUUUUAGUGGUUCAUCUUAACUGUAACAAAUUUUGGUUAUGUCAUCAUCAGUGUAUAGAGUUCUUUCUGAAUAGAAAGGAGGUAUAAUUUUCAUCAU